UUGCCGUGAUGGCCGCCGCCGAGGCAGGGAGUUGAGGGUUUCUGCCUUUCGGAGGGUUUGGGGGGCUGUCGGUCCCGUUAGAAGGCCACCAACAGCCCCCCAGGUUGCCAAGGGCCUGUUAGUUGUGUUCCUGGAAGAAGGUGGAGUCUUUUCACUUCCUUGAAUCUGAGUGGAUCCUUCGACUGUUUUGACCAAGACUAUGUGGUAGAAGCGAAGUUCCAGUUCCAGGUAUUGCUCUUAUUUCACCUGACAAGUUUGGUUUCCUGCCUUUUGGAAGCUGACCACUAUGUUAGAAAUGUAAUCACCCUGAAAUCACUAUGUCGUGAGAAACCCAAAGGCAAGUGAAGAAGCCCUGGAGGAUGCGACAUCAAGUGUAGAGGCAAAAGAGCACCAAGGAAGAGGCCAAAGAACACUAAGUGAAGAAGCCAUUUUGAAAAUGGAUCCUCCAGCCCCAGCUGCCCUAGUUGUUACGUAAAUCAGAUAAAUUGCCCAGUGGUACCCUUCCCAAUUUCUGCCCCAUAAAAUCAUGAGCCAAAUAAAAUGGUUUGUUUUAAGCUUCUAAGGUUGUGGGUGGUUUGUUUUGCCAUGACAGAUAACAGGAACAAAUACUGGGGGAAAAUUUUUGUUUGAUAAUGGGUACAAUUUGCUUGUCUAAAUCUGAUAAGGAACUAGUAUCUACAAUAAGUAAG
This 689-nucleotide long non-coding RNA is filed under the name Homo sapiens (human). RNAcentral's name for it is "HSALNT0362481". Lineage: Eukaryota; Metazoa; Chordata; Mammalia; Primates; Hominidae. The record is from RNAcentral.